RNAcentral lists this long non-coding RNA (856 nucleotides) under Elaeis guineensis (African oil palm). Its description in RNAcentral is "long non-coding RNA (EGUI_LNC075047)". Lineage: Eukaryota; Viridiplantae; Streptophyta; Magnoliopsida; Arecales; Arecaceae. The record is from RNAcentral.
UACGUCACAGGAGCAGUGGCUUAUUAGUCCAAAAGAAGCAUCCCCAAACCUAAAAAUAUGAUAUGCAACCUAUGCGUAGAUGAGGACUGAACUUGAGGAGGUUAAGAAAAAGCUUGUCAUAGCUGAGAACCUUCUAAAUUCAUUGCUCAAAUAGGGGGAUAUUGCAAAUAAAGAAAAGGACGAAGAGGAGGAGCAGGAUGAUAAAGAGGAGGAGGUGGAAGUCAUAUGGGGAGAAAAAUCGAUGAUGGAGAAAAAGAGGAAGGACACCCCUGAGGAGGAUGAUAUGGGGGAAAAACAACUAUCUUUGAUUCCUUCAAUCAUUAAGAGGGUGAAAAGACAACUUCGACAUUGGAAGGCUUCAUAUCUAAAGUUGGAUUUUAGAUUUGAGACCAUUUCACCCAUGAAAAAGUCCAAGGCAGUCCUCCCAUCACCAACCAAAUAAAAUAAUAAUCAUUUACAAUUUGAAGAAGAUGAAAAUUUGAUUAAAAUUUUUUUGAAGGAAAGCAUCAACUCGUAAGUCUUUUAUGAUUUUUUUUGUUAUGUAUGAUAAUCUCUCUUUAAAAAUAUUUUUUUAUGAUAUCCUUUAUAUUUUUCUAUUGUAGAGAGGUUGUGUACAUCAAUGUACAUGAUGGCAGUGUCGCAACAUCACAUGUUCAUGAUCUUCUCGUUGACCAAAUGAUAGUUAAUGAUGUAAGGAUUUGAGUAUAUCUUUGUUUUUUUAUUAUUCUUGUUGUAUACUAUGAUAUCCACUUUUUUUUUUAUGUUUUAUAUCAUGGUUUCAGUAUUGUAUGACACUUCAAGUUAUAUUUUAUUAAUCACUUUAUUUUGCAUUGACAGAUUAUCGAUGCUGGGCAAG